This 433-nucleotide ribosomal RNA is filed under the name uncultured bacterium. RNAcentral describes it as "partial 16S ribosomal RNA". It matches the Rfam family "Bacterial small subunit ribosomal RNA", at positions 29 to 507 of the family's 1533-position model. The record is from RNAcentral.
AACGAACGCUGGCGGCAUGCCUAACACAUCCAAGUCGAACGAAGGCUUCGGCCUUAGUGGCGCACGGGUGCGUAACGCGUGGGAAUCUGCCCUUUGGUUCGGAAUAACAGCUGGAAACGGCUGCUAAUACCGGAUGAUGACGAAAGUCCAAAGAUUUAUCGCCAGAGGAUGAGCCCGCGUUGGAUUAGGUAGUUGGUGGGGUAAAGGCCUACCAAGCCGACGAUCCAUAGCUGGUCUGAGAGGAUGAUCAGCCACACUGGGACUGAGACACGGCCCAGACUCCUACGGGAGGCAGCAGUGGGGAAUAUUGGACAAUGGGCGCAAGCCUGAUCCAGCAAUGCCGCGUGAGUGAUGAAGGCCCUAGGGUUGUAAAGCUCUUUUACCCGGGAAGAUAAUGACUGUACCGGGAGAAUAAGCCCCGGCUAACUCCGUG